Molecule: ribosomal RNA, 292 nt
Filed under: uncultured prokaryote
Description: partial 16S ribosomal RNA
Rfam family: Bacterial small subunit ribosomal RNA
Source: RNAcentral
GUGUCAGCCGCCGCGGUAAUACGUAGGUGGCAAGCGUUAUCCGGAAUUAUUGGGCGUAAAGAGCGCGCAGGUGGUUGAUUAAGUCUGAUGUGAAAGCCCACGGCUUAACCGUGGAGGGUCAUUGGAAACUGGUCGACUUGAGUGCAGAAGAGGGAAGUGGAAUUCCAUGUGUAGCGGUGGAAUGCGUAGAGAUAUGGAGGAACACCAGUGGCGAAGGCGGCUUCCUGGUCUGUAACUGACACUGAGGCGCGAAAGCGUGGGGAGCAAACAGGAUUAGAUACCCCGGUAGUCC